This 788-nucleotide long non-coding RNA is filed under the name Mytilus galloprovincialis (Mediterranean mussel). The record is from RNAcentral. Lineage: Eukaryota; Metazoa; Mollusca; Bivalvia; Mytilida; Mytilidae.
CUUGUUUAAAAAAAAAAAAAUAAGGAUUGUGUCCGUUUUUUUCCAAUUCUCUUUUCUGUGGUGAGAUAAGAAGGGACAAAGUAAAAGAUGCGUAAACACAGGCAUGUUCCGAUCAAAAACCAUAUUUCAUAUAUAUCAUAUCAUCUAUAAUCAAGCUCAAUAAUCUUUUUGACGAUGCAAUACUGGACAAUGCGUUCUCCCACGAUAAAUGCAAUAUUAAUUUCAUAAUGAAAUCGAGUGCAUAGCACUAGAGCUCCGUCCCGUGUGUUUUGCUUUUUUUUUCUUCUUUUUUCCCUCUUGUAUAUCAAAGUGACCCCUUGAUUUAACUGUCCGACCUUUUCUAACGUAUGCCGCAUUGAUCUUGAACAUUAGAAACAGUUUUUCAGUUUUUGCUUUGAAAUUUAUUCCGUGCAUUGCGUCGUUUUCAAAGGAACAAGCCUUAGGGCUUUUGGAUUGAGAGUUGUCUCAUUGGCACUCAUACCACAUCUUCCUAUAUCUAUUUACACAAACAUACCUGUUUGUUUCUAGGACAAACUUCUUCAUUAAAAUCCAUUGUAAAAAUCAGCAUAAAAUAUGCAAUGGGUCUGGAAUUUCGUGGCGGCAUUCUUUUAGGUCCAACAUUUUGAUCAAAUUCUGUGUGAUCCCGAAUUUCAGGAGGAUAUACUCGAAACCAGGGAUUAGGAUCAGCCAUUAUUCGAAAGAUGCGUUAAUGGAUGACGUCAUAAGAUCAAUAACGUCAUUUAUUGAAUAUCGUACUUUUUGGCGUAUUUUUCAUUAUUUUUUUUUGC